This 1321-nucleotide ribosomal RNA is filed under the name Piptocephalis sp. HTS-P14. Its description in RNAcentral is "eukaryotic LSU rRNA". The stretch from base 715 to 867 matches the Rfam family "5.8S ribosomal RNA". Lineage: Eukaryota; Fungi; Zoopagomycota; Zoopagomycetes; Zoopagales; Piptocephalidaceae. The record is from RNAcentral.
UCCGUAGGUGAACCUGCGGAAGGAUCAUCACUAGAAUAUGUCCAUUUCUCUUGGGUUCCCCCCUCUCCCUUUCUCUCUCUCGAUGAUCUCUAAAUGAUUUCCAUCUGUGUCGAGUAAAAUUGGGGGUUGGGUUCUCUCCCCUCUUCUCUCUCAAAAAUUCGAUUUCUCCAAUUGUGUGAUUUCUAAAUAAACGAGAAAAAUUUGAGGGCGAGAGUUCUCUUCCCCCAUCCCUCUCUAUCACUAAACGAUCUCUCCCUGAUUUCUACGUAACCGUGAAUACCUGAGGCUGGGUUCUCAAGGGUGUGCGAACGUAUUUCUCCUUUCCAUUAUUCCUUUUGCCCUUACGGAAGGGUAGGGUUGAUACGUCUUAUGCCCCAUGCCGGCUUCUCGCCGUCGUUGUUGUGAGGUCUUUAUCCGUUUUAAUUCCUUGCCAGUGUGUAUUACGUCCGGGUUAAGUCAGGCUGCAAAGUCGCGGCUUAACCCUUCCCAUUAAAGGUCUUCUCAUGCUGACGAUUUCUGUAUUGUUGCGUGUGUACGAGAUUGCCAUUGUAAAAGGUCUCCCUUAUAUCCUCCUUCAAACCGAGGGUAUAUGCGGGGGUUCAGUAGCUUGGCACUCGCACGCUCAAGCACACUUCUCUUAUAUCAACCACCUUUUAUUAAACCAAACUAAACUAUAGAUUUUAUUUACACCUUGAGUGUAUCCUAACUUAAUACAACUGUUAACAACGGAUCACUCGGUUCUCACGUCGAUGAAGAGCGUAGCGAAUUGCGAAAACUAAUGCGAUCUGCACCCAUCGUGAAUCAUCGAGUCCUUGAACGCACACUGCACCCAAUGGUAUCCCCAUGGGUAUGCCUGAUUGAGUACCGGGUUAUAUCAUCAAAAGGUGUAUUCCUUUUGGAACUGGAUUUUCCCCUUCCUUAGGGGGGGGUAAUCUUAAAUGAAGGACGCUGGGAUGUGGUUGUUCCCUUCCUGCCGUCCCUUUCCUGCACUUUUUUUCCUCUUUGUGUAUGGCGUAUUGGUCGGGGUCUUGUCCUUUUCUCGUCUCUUCGGAGAAGGGGAGGGGGCAGGAGCACGAAUUUCACGCCUUGUACAGAGUUGAAGGGGGGUAUGGGCGAGGGGUAGCAUCCAAAGGGAAGGGGUGAUGAGGGGAUCCUUUUCUCUCUUCAUAAUACAACUACUGACGGUUGCUCGAGAUUACGAUAUUCCUCUGCUCUCAUCCCCGAAAGGGUUUGGGUUCGAGGGGGUAUGGUAACACUUGAAUUUUCGGUCUCAGUUAGGUAGGAAUACCCGCUGAACUUAAGCAUAUCAAUAAGCGGAGGA